Molecule: non-coding RNA, 90 nt
Filed under: Pseudosulfitobacter pseudonitzschiae
Lineage: Bacteria; Pseudomonadati; Pseudomonadota; Alphaproteobacteria; Rhodobacterales; Roseobacteraceae
Also listed under: 1 other name
Description: Sulfitobacter pseudonitzschiae Glycine riboswitch aptamer
Rfam family: Glycine riboswitch aptamer
About the family: This family represents the bacterial glycine riboswitch. Glycine riboswitches usually consist of two metabolite-binding aptamers domains with similar structures in tandem.
Source: Rfam by way of RNAcentral
GACAUCGACAUGGGAGAACCGGCCUGACGUGCCGGUGCCGAAGGAGCAACCGCCCCGGAAACUCUCAGGCAACAGGACCGUGGCGAUAUU